RNAcentral lists this ribosomal RNA (657 nucleotides) under Clostridioides difficile. Its description in RNAcentral is "bacterial LSU rRNA". It matches the Rfam family "Bacterial large subunit ribosomal RNA", at positions 1562 to 2231 of the family's 2925-position model. Lineage: Bacteria; Bacillati; Bacillota; Clostridia; Peptostreptococcales; Peptostreptococcaceae. The record is from RNAcentral.
UGUGAUGGGGAGCGAAAUUUAGUAGCGAAGUAGCUGAUUUCACACUGUCAAGAAAAGUCUCUAUCGAGGUUAAAGGUACCCGUACCGCAAACCGACACAGGUGGGUGAGGAGAGUAUCCUAAGGCCAGCGAGAGAACUGUUGUUAAGGAACUCGGCAAAAUGACCCCGUAACUUAGGGAUAAGGGGUGCCACCAUCAGGUGGCCGCAGAGAAUAGGCCCAAGCGACUGUUUACCAAAAACAUAGGUUUCUGCUAAGUCGCAAGACGAUGUAUAGGAGCUGACGCCUGCCCGGUGCUGGAAGGUUAAGGGGAUCUGUUAGAGCAAUCGAAGCAGUGAACUUAAGCCCCAGUAAACGGCGGCCGUAACUAUACCGGUCCUAAGGUAGCGAAAUUCCUUGUCGGGUAAGUUCCGACCCGCACGAAAGGCGUAACGAUUUGGGCACUGUCUCAACAACAGACGCGGUGAAAUUGUAAUUCCGGUGAAGAUGCCGGAUACCUGCGACAGGACGGAAAGACCCCAUGGAGCUUUACUGUAGCUUGACAUUGGGUCUUGGUACUACAUGUACAGGAUAGGUGGGAGGCUUUGAAACCAGGACGCCAGUUUUGGCGGAGCCAUCCUUGGGAUACCACCCUUGUAGUACUGGGACUCUAACCAUAG